UACGUAGGGUCCGAGCGUUGUCCGGAAUUAUUGGGCGUAAAGGGCUCGUAGGCGGUCUGUCGCGUCGGGAGUGAAAACUUACAGCUUAACUGUGAGCGUGCUUCCGAUACGGGGCAGACUUGAGGUAUUCAGGGGAGAACGGAAUUCCUGGUGUAGCGGUGAAAUGCGCAGAUAUCAGGAGGAACACCGGUGGCGAAGGCGGUUCUCUGGGAAUAUCCUGACGCUGAGGAGCGAAAGUGUGGGGAGCGAACAGG
RNAcentral lists this ribosomal RNA (254 nucleotides) under uncultured bacterium. Its description in RNAcentral is "partial 16S ribosomal RNA". It matches the Rfam family "Bacterial small subunit ribosomal RNA", at positions 524 to 776 of the family's 1533-position model. The record is from RNAcentral.